This is an RNA transcript of Brassica napus (rape), 2182 nucleotides long. RefSeq lists it as uncharacterized. Lineage: Eukaryota; Viridiplantae; Streptophyta; Magnoliopsida; Brassicales; Brassicaceae. The record is from RefSeq and is a predicted model, not a curated record. The transcript is spliced from 2 exons.
AAAAGUUUCUUAAACUAUUUAAACAGCAAGGAAUAUACAAAAUGUUUCUCCUUGUCGAUCUUUCCACUUAUUAUAUUCGUAAUAUUACUCUUACUAGAUAAGUAAGAAAAUAUAAGCUGACCAGAUAACUGGGUUAGUGAAACUUUAAUUAGCGUGAUAUUCAAACUCUUGUUUUACUCCAUCAUUCAGCAUGAUAUUCAGAACCAUAAGAGUAAACUAGGGAAUUGUUGUUUGGAAGACAUGGAUAAAGCUAAUUUGAAGGUUGCUAAUGGUUUGAAUCUAACCAUGCUAAAUAACUAUAUCAAUAUGUAUAUUAGGUAAGAGUGAAUUGGCUCAAAAUCCUAAAAGAAGUUAUUAAUUAAGUAACUACCCAUGAAACAAAUUGUGUGGGAUUUAAUAUUCAACUUGGAGAACUGCAAUUACAAAACAGUCCUUUUGGUUUAUAGGAAAUGUUUAGGGUGAAUUGGGUGAAAAUCCUAAAAGAAUAUGGAAAUUAGCAAAGUACCAAAGAGAAGAAAAUAGUGGGGUUUAGUUUUUCUCUGUGACAUAGCAAUUUACCUUAGUACCCCUAAGCUCUUUGGACGUAGGUUUAUAGAUGGGAAAAAGAUUUUUAAGCUAUUAUAAAUAUUUUGCUUAGAUUUUUUGGGGGAUUUUCUAUAUAGUAAACAAUAACGCUUUUUCUUCUCUCUUAUUUAUCUCUCUUGUCUCUUCACCCUUCCUCUUCUCUUUUCUCUUCAACUACUUCAGCUACAUCUUUGGUCGGAUCGUCUUUUUUUAGCUGUAUCUUUGUUUUCCUUUUGUCUAUCACUGUCAAUGAUUUACAUCUCCAUUCUUGCUCUUAACAUGUAGAUCUAGAUCGUUAGAUCCCUUCUCGGUUGUUCUUGCAUGUUUGUUUUAGAUCUUCUGGUGCAUGAUCUCUUCCAGUUGCUGGCUCGGGGUUUGAUCUAAGCACUGAGGGGCUCUGUUUCUAGAUUCAUGGAUCUUUAUUUGGUUCAAAUUUCCUUUCUCUAGGCGUUUUCAUGGCACUAGAUAGAUAGGGAGAAGAAUGUGAGGCUUCAAUGGACGUAGGCGUUGAAAGUAAUUAGUGAUUAUAGGUGUAACAAAAAUAUUAAAUAUGUAUCAAACAUGUUAGCCGCAUUGAAUAGUAUUAACCGGUUUGAGUAUGUAAUCAUAUGCGAUUGUCUGUGGCUAAUAACAAACGUAGAGGUUUAAUUUCAUAUGUACCCGGCUAAAAUUUUAUGUUUUCUAUUAAAUAUAAUAUUAAUUUCAACAAAUCGAAACACAAAUGCUAAAAAAUGUUGAUAUUAGGAUAAAUAAUUCAAAGGUUGGGUAAAAUUAAUAUUAGCUAUCAAUAAGAAAAGCUUAUAUGUCUCACAAUGGAUCUUAAAGAUUAAUUCAAAAUAGAAAUGAAAAUAUGAAUAAGUAGUUACAUGUUAACAAAUUAACUAACAGGCUAAUAAUAAACACAAAGAUGCUGAUAUUCCACCGACUUUCUUUGGAAAUGGUUUUGCUGACAACUUUAUAGCAAACGAAAACAGUGGACAUCCACCAGUAAAAGGAAUAAUAGAAAUUCUUGAUGACCAGGAUGAGGUGGUGGACAUUAAUCAUGGAACUUUGGGCACAGGUGCUUCAAACAGUGUGCAGGUUCUUACUAAUCAAGAGGAUGCACCGCCAACCUUAUAGGAUUUUGGGAUAGACUUGGUGAACUACACUAAACAUGGAAUUCACCAGGGACAUACUAAUGAAGGGUUAGACAAUGGGAUGAUGUUUCGGGAGGGAGUUAUAACUUAUAAGUGAUGGCCGAGCGGCUGAAGGAGAGUUAACUAUUAAUGAUCCAGAUGUCAAAAUGUAGGGGUGAUUCUAGGUACCACGGGAAACAGUUGAUGGAGGAGGUUCUUCAACAGGGUCCAGUAAUGAAUACAUUUCACCCUAUCGGCACGGUUAUGGAAAAAAAAUAGCAUUUAGGAUGGUUUUGGGGGAUAAACUUAUAUGUAACCGUAUAAGUAUUGUUUAGUUACCGUUAAUUAUAAUCGGAAACUGUUAGAAGAUAGUUUAGCAAGGAGUGAUUUGAUUUUGGUUUGUUAAAAUAUCUUGUAACCAUUGUUGUUAUAUAUAAUGGUCAGCUACUUUUAUGUGAUUGUUUCAUAAAUAAAAUGUAUGUUAACCAACUGGUUUUAAUUGA